UACGGAGGGAGCUAGCGUUAUUCGGAAUUACUGGGCGUAAAGCGCACGUAGGCGGCUUUGUAAGUUAGAGGUGAAAGCCUGGAGCUUAACUCCAGAAUUGCCUUUAAGACUGCAUCGCUUGAAUCCAGGAGAGGUGAGCGGAAGUCCGGGUGUAGAGGUGAAAUUCGUAGAUAUUCGGAAGAACACCAGUGGCGAAGGCGGCUCACUGGACUGGUAUUGACGCUGAGGUGCGAAAGCGUGGGGAGCAAACAGGAUUAGAAACCCGCGUAGUCC
Molecule: ribosomal RNA, 273 nt
Filed under: uncultured Sphingomonas sp.
Lineage: Bacteria; Pseudomonadati; Pseudomonadota; Alphaproteobacteria; Sphingomonadales; Sphingomonadaceae
Description: partial 16S ribosomal RNA
Rfam family: Bacterial small subunit ribosomal RNA
Source: RNAcentral